This is a long non-coding RNA of Astatotilapia calliptera (eastern happy), 456 nucleotides long. NCBI's taxonomy places the organism in Eukaryota, Metazoa, Chordata, Actinopteri, Cichliformes, Cichlidae. The record is from Ensembl.
AGUUCUCUUCAUGUUAAUGGAUCUCUGAGGGACUAUCCCACAAGCUCCAAGCCCAGCACGGUGGGGAAACCAAACCAUGGACUAGCUUCUUCUGCUUCCCUCUCCCACUCACCGUCCUCCGCCAGCAGCUCCUCCUCCUCCAGCUCUUUGUCCUCCUCACAGUCUACCUCAGACAUCCAACCAGACGUUCGUUUUAUUCCGCGUCCACUAAACCAAGUCAGCGGCAUGCCUUUCAGUAAUGGGGAUCAGAACCCUGUAGGAAACGGGGCGUCCUUCCUGGUGCCGGAUAGCCAAGAGGAAUCAGACAAAGAGAACUGUGACACUCUGGAUAACGGCAGUUCAUCCAAGUCUCAUCCUAAUGAAAAUAAAGACACAGGAAAUGUCUUUGAUAAUUCUCCCAAAACCGCCAAUGGGGAGUCAGGAGUGCACCAUCACGGCAAUGGAUUAAAUGGACAA